AGAGUUUGAUCCUGGCUCAGGAUUAACGCUGGCGGCAUGCCUAAUACAUGCAAGUCGAAUGGAAGAGCUUGCUUUUCCAUGGCGAACGGGUGAGUAACACGUAGGUAACCUACCUUAAGGACGAGGAUAACCUUUGGAAACGAAGGAUAAUACUGGAUAGGACAUCAUAAAACACAUGUUUAGAUGUUUAAAGGAGCAAUCCACCAUAAGAGGGGCCUGCGGCGCAUUAGCUAGUUGGUAAGGUAAAGGCCUACCAAGGCGAUGAUGCGUAGCCGGACUGAGAGGUUGAACGGCCACAAUGGGACUGAGAACGGCCCAUACUCCUACGGGAGGCAGCAGUAGGGAAUUUUCGGCAAUGGACAAAAGUCUGACCGAGCAAUGCCCGCGUGAUCGAAGAAGUAUUUCGGUAUGUAAAGAUCUUUUAUCAGGGAAGAAAAGACAGAUUGACUGAACCUGAUGAAUAAGCUCCGGCUAACUACGUGCCAGCCGCCGC
This 493-nucleotide ribosomal RNA is filed under the name uncultured bacterium. RNAcentral's name for it is "bacterial SSU rRNA". It matches the Rfam family "Bacterial small subunit ribosomal RNA", at positions 8 to 518 of the family's 1533-position model. The record is from RNAcentral.